UGAUUUGUAACAGUGUGAUACGAUCCGGAUUUAGUAGUUCCAGAAGAAGUUGCUGAUUCCUAAACUUUCUGUUUGAAACUCAUCGUCUUCAUAACACACCAAAUGAGGUCAUUGUGUUCUAAGUAAGAGAUGACUUAUUAAACUGACCUCCCUGUCACUAGUUGUUGUGCUUUGCAUUUGCAACGCACUUCCAAACAACUAUACUAUUGAGAAAUAAUGGGGUCUUCAAGUGUUCCCACCACUCUGUCCAUAGUGACGCUUCUCUGGAACCCUCGCACACUUAGUGCAUUUCACCAUUUUGACCGAAAUAAAAGACACGAUGGCGAUAUCGAUCCUUCGCAGGAAAAUUCCUCUUGUUUGCACGGUCGACCUCAUCAUUCCCUCUUCCCAACAAGCUAACGACAGCCAAUCCUGGGGAAGGAAGGGGUGGAGUUACCGGAGAGACAGCACAGAAUUGGUGAUGGUCAGACGGACUGGAUGACGGAAAAAGUUGAUUUGUCUUCGUUCCAGUCGACUACUGAAUCCUCUUCUAGCUCAUCAUCUCCGCCCUCACCGUUGGAACAUGAUGUCAAGGUGCCCUCUGACUUGGAGGUCAUGACCUCUCUUUUGCAAGAGGAGCUUGCUCAGCUUGAGGAUUACUUCCGGUCUGAAUCGACUUCAACCAAAGUGGACAAAUCACCAAAAUGUGACAAAGGCGCCCAAGCAAUGGGUGCCCAUUCUUACUACCAGUUGCCCUAUGCUUCGUACAGUGGCAACCAAUCAGAAACCAGCCCAUUGUUUGUUACCCUGGCAACAGGGGAACUCGACCGAGUGAGCUUCUGUGGUGGUCCCAUUGGAAGACCCAAAAUGGCUAGACAAUCCCCAUACAACUGUCAUCAUCGUUCAUACAAUACUUGCCGAAGAAUGGUUUCAGAUGGUGUCAACAAAGUUGGAGAGGAACUUGAGCAUGACACCUGGAGUGCCAAAGGAAGUUCCUCAGGAAGCACAGAGGUUGCUGUUAACCACUUUUCUACAUUGAAGAGAGUUGGGAAGAACAUUGGCAGUGUAAAGAAAGUCAGAGAAUGUGGUGUAAGAGAAUGUGGUGUAUUGCUGAAGGAAGAGGAAAGUUAUUGUUUUACAGAGGACGUUUUUUGCAGUGAAGAGAUGACCAGAAGUUUUUGUGUGGGUGGGUCCUUCGAUACCCACCCCAAGAGAGAAGGACAGUUGAUGCAUGGAAUGAAGGUUAGUGGCAGGGGUUAUGAUGGUAUGGGGCUGGAGGUCUUUCAUUGCAACAAAGAUGGUGGACUCUCUGGAGGUAUUCCUCAAGAGCCAGAGGCAAAUGGUGGCUAUUACCACCACCACCCGAACAUUGCUGAUACAGAGCCUUAUAGCUUUAUAAGUGAAAUCGAAGAGCCUACACAAGUACAUGGUAUAGAGCCCCAGCAUGGCCACUACCUCUUCCCAGAAUGUCUUGGAGACCAAAGCUACGAAUGUCUGUCAAGAGGAGAGAGCGAGAGGCCAAUGAUGGACUCGCCCAUUCACAGGCAAGCAGUACAGAGGCUAAAGGAAGAUCCAUGCUCCCUGAGCUGCCUCAAACCAGGCCUUGUCGCUGUCCCUCUGGAAGUACAUACCGGAGAACGGAAGCAGAAGAAGAGAGACCAGAACAAAACAGCUGCUCACAGGUAUCGACUGCGUAAGAGGGCGGAGCUGGACAUACUGGAGGAGGAGCUUCAUGGGCUGGAGGAACACAACCGGGAGCUCCGCGACAAGGCGGAGUCAGUGGAACGAGAGAUUCAAUAUGUCAAAGAUUUACUCAUCGAGGUCUACAAGGCACGUAGUCAACGCUUAAAGCAAGAUGCCAGUGCCUAAUCUCCCACCCACAACACCAGCACUCACAUCAAAAGCACUUGUUUGUUAAAAAUUAUAGUUGCAUGAUUUUGGUAGUUUUUCAAAAAAUAAAUAAUAUAAUCGCUUUAUUAUUGUUACAGACAAUAAACAACACAAUGUAUUUUUACAAAUGUUUCCCUGAAUGACUUCAGGCCUUAGUUGAAUUAAGGAGGGAACUAAAAUAAACUGUCCGUGACCACUGUGACACUGACUUGCCUUGUAAUGUUUGAGCUUGCAAUGAUUGACUGUUUAACUGUCAUUUUUUUUAAUUAUGUCUGUGUUAUUGACACUCAAUGGCAGCAUAAAGGAAGGAAGCUUUAUUCUGUGAUAUUGUACGUUUUGUUUUAUUUAUUAAUGUAAGUACCCUUUUGCUUCUUCCACUCAUUUGGUUUAAGGGACUGAAGAAGGAAUGUUUAAAAUGCUGUGUAAAAGUUCAUUCAUAAAUGCUGCAAACUACUAGAAUAUUUGAUUGCUAAAAUGCUCAUGUUGAACAUGUAGGAAACCACCUAGACCUUGCUAAAGUACCCAAUGCAUGUUUGAUUGUUAAAAAAGCAUGAUUGAUUGUUAUUUGAAAAUGACAACAUUCUCUGAACUGCAUGGCUUCCUGAUUUAAUGGUUUCCAUAGAGCAUUUUCUCAAGUCAUGCUUUAACUGUUUCAGCUUCAUUAGCUGACUAUUUCUACAGAGCUUCCCCCUCAAAUAUUGAAUCAUACUCAGGAUGUUUGUCCACUUUUACAUAAUGGGGAAAAUAUACAUGCCAUUCACUGUUUUAUCAUCUUGGUUUUUUCUUGGCUGUAUUUUGCGAAAAAACAAUCACCUGUUAACACAACAAUAAAUUGUUGUUGGGCAUAAUGUCUUCAUGAGAAUCUUAUUUGAUGAGUAUGUGUUCAAUUCAGGUCUGCUUGUUUGAUAGAUGAUGAUGUCUGGUAACUAACUAUCAGGUAAAUUGCAGCCAAAUAAACUAGUUGUGUUUUUUA
Oncorhynchus gorbuscha (pink salmon) is the source of this 2842-nucleotide RNA transcript. RefSeq lists it as uncharacterized. The transcript is spliced from 4 exons. NCBI's taxonomy places the organism in Eukaryota, Metazoa, Chordata, Actinopteri, Salmoniformes, Salmonidae. The record is from RefSeq and is a predicted model, not a curated record.